UACGUAGGGGGCAAGCGUUGUCCGGAAUCAUUGGGCGUAAAGAGCGCGUAGGCGGCCUGUUGCGUCCGCUGUGAAAGCCCGGGGCUUAACCCCGGGUCGGCAGUGGAUACGGGCAGGCUAGAGGUAGGUAGGGGAGAAUGGAAUUCCCGGUGUAGCGGUGAAAUGCGCAGAUAUCGGGAGGAACACCGGUGGCGAAGGCGGUUCUCUGGGCCUUACCUGACGCUGAGGAGCGAAAGCGUGGGGAGCGAACAGG
This 253-nucleotide ribosomal RNA is filed under the name uncultured bacterium. RNAcentral describes it as "partial 16S ribosomal RNA". It matches the Rfam family "Bacterial small subunit ribosomal RNA", at positions 524 to 776 of the family's 1533-position model. The record is from RNAcentral.